CCCAAAACCAACUUCUUUCUUUUUCAUUCUCUCUCUCUUUUAUAUUUCAAUGGCAAAUCCCAACUCUGCAUAACUUUCUGCAACUGUCAUAACAAAUACAUAUAUAUAACAAACUUUGAGACACCUUCUACAUUACAUUUUCCACACCCCAUUAUCAAGAACUCAUCUUUUUUAGGUACAAACAACAAAAACCCUAAUCUUUAAGCUCUCAUGGUUGUUGUUUCUGUGUAAAGAUCAAUUUUUUUGGUUAAAAAAUGUGAUAUUUUUAUUCUCUUGACUUUUUGGAUGUGGAUCUGAUCUGGGGUUUUCAUCUUUUUGUCUCUCGCUGGAAAUGCUGAGAAUUUUGAAUCUUGAUCUUAAUUGGUAUUUACAUGUUCAUUCUGUUUAUGUGCAAAAUUUGGUGUUUUUUUUUUGCAGGUGAUCUGAGGAUUUGGAUUGCUUGUUUAUAAGGGAAUAAUAAAAAGAGUUGCUUCAGAAUUGGCAUUGUUUGGAAUUGUGUAAAGUUCU
RNAcentral lists this long non-coding RNA (507 nucleotides) under Nicotiana benthamiana. Its description in RNAcentral is "long non-coding RNA (NBEN_LNC002325)". The record is from RNAcentral. Lineage: Eukaryota; Viridiplantae; Streptophyta; Magnoliopsida; Solanales; Solanaceae.